This is a long non-coding RNA of Ornithorhynchus anatinus (platypus), 651 nucleotides long. RefSeq lists it as uncharacterized. The record is from RefSeq and is a predicted model, not a curated record. The transcript has 4 exons. Lineage: Eukaryota; Metazoa; Chordata; Mammalia; Monotremata; Ornithorhynchidae.
AGGUGGCCUUUGCUCGAGACGCUGAUUCCCGUCCAAACUUCUUGAUUCACCUGAAAAAUUCUUUUUCCUUUGGGGAAUGAAAAUCUGCUAGCAACUCCAGACAUUCUUUGGAAAAUCUAGUAACUGGAAAAACCAAAGCUGGCAAACCUACCGGGCAUUUGAACUCCAGAUUUCGUCGGUGUCGCAACGAAUUCAACAGGACAUUUUCAUUACUUCAAACUAAACGCCUUCUUGGGGAAGGAUGGAAAGGAAUGAUUCGAUCAAUGAAAAGAUGAUGUCCCGCUGAGAAAUCCCAAUCGAUGAGCAGAGGGCAAGGGAGUUGAUGAAGGAAGAGAAGUAAUGUUUGCUGGGUGGACCAUUGGCAAUCCAUUUUUCACUUGGAGCCAAGCUUAGUGAUGGUGCUGGUCCUUCGGUGAGCCAGUCUGAGGCAAAGAUGGAUGGAAGGCAUUUUCCCUUUCCCUUCGCAAAGAACAGACAGAUAAAAGGCGUCAUCAGAUUCCCACCCACGAACCCCCGGAUUUCAGUGGCGGUUUAGGAGAGGCACGAACGACACGGAGUUUCCUCACGGUUCAGGAAGCUAAUGCUGAGAUUCAACCCGGUUCCCCGAAGCGUGCGGCCACACCUGCUCCAGCCAAACCUCCGCCUCUGCAU